AGUUUGAGUAAGCUCCAGGAGUUGGUGAUGGACAAGGAAGCCUGGUGUGCCUCAAUUCAUGGGGUUGCAAAAAGUCGGAAAUGACUGAGCGACUGAACUGAACUGAUUUACAAUUGUCUGCAGUUUCCAGAGAAAUCUUCACAUCAUUCUUUGGUAUUACUUCUGGGAUGGUCCUUGGAAAUCAUCUAUUUAGCCUUCUCAUUUUACAGAUGAGAAAAGUAAGGUCCAGAGUGGGAAAGCAACUAGUGCAAGGUCAUUCUGUUAGAGGAAGGGCCAGGACCAGAAUUCAGAUCUCCUGACAAAAAGUUGAGACUUUUACAAUAUACCAUGACAACUUUCCUUUAUUCCCUUGCUCCCUUAGGGGAAAAAAAAAAAAAACAACCCCUCAAAAAUUCUCUUAAACCGUAUCCUGUUUAGAAAGGGCAUGCUGACCAAUAGGCUUAACCAUAAAUCACUGAUUCUGAACUUCUCGGGAACAUUCUCACUACAAAGGAUGAAAUGGUUGGAUGGCAUCACCGACUCAAUGGACAUAAAUUUGAAUAAACUCUNGGAGUUGGUGAUGGACAGGGAAGCCUGGCAUGCUGCAGUCCAUGGGGUCUAAAAGAGUCCAACAUGACUGAGCAACUGAACUGAACCAUUCUGUGCCUCAGUUUCUCCCCCUGAAGAAUGGAGGAUAACAAAAUCUCAUUGGAUUGUUGAUAUAAUUAAAUGACUUCAUGCCUGAACCUAAAACAUUAAUUACUCAAAACAUAUCAGAUACUAAUAUUGUUAUUUUAUAAAGGGAAUGAUCUAGGUUCUAGACUCAGUUCUGCUACUAUGUGACCUUCAGAAAACACAGUUAACCUCUCUGGGUUUCAGUUUUCUAUCUAUAAAGUAAGGAAUGUUACCAGAUAAUUUCCAUGGCUUCAUCUUUAAAAUUCUAUGAUUCAGUGUGUUCAAUAUUUGUUUUACCCAUAUGCACAUUCCAAUUUUGUCUAUAAUUCUAAUUUUUCAGAAUGCUUAAAACUUAUUCUAUUAGCAUACAAUUUUGAGGACUCUCUAGUGAUGACCACUUUGAAAUAUAAACAUCUUUAAUUCACAUCUGGUCAGCAAACAUUUGUAACUUUCACUUAUCUGAAGUAACGCUUUUUCAUGUUCAUGAAAAAUUUAAAAUU
RNAcentral lists this long non-coding RNA (1154 nucleotides) under Capra hircus (goat). RNAcentral's name for it is "lncRNA (ENSCHIG00010022523.1)". The record is from RNAcentral. Lineage: Eukaryota; Metazoa; Chordata; Mammalia; Artiodactyla; Bovidae.